Molecule: ribosomal RNA, 253 nt
Filed under: uncultured bacterium
Lineage: Bacteria
Description: partial 16S ribosomal RNA
Rfam family: Bacterial small subunit ribosomal RNA
Source: RNAcentral
UACGAGGGGGGCAAAUGUUGUUCGGAAUCACUGGGCGUAAAGGGCGUGUAGGCGGGUUUCUAAGUCAGGUGUUUAAUCCCGGGGCCCAACCCCGGACAGGCACUUGAAACUGGGAAUCUUGAAUAGUGGAGAGGUCAGUGGAAUUGGGGGUGUAGCGGUGGAAUGCGUAGAGAUCCCCAAGAACACCAGUUGCGAAGGCGGCUGACUGGACACAUAUUGACGCUGAGGCUCGAAAGCAUGGGGAGCAAACAGG